CCCAAUAGCCACUGCCACCGCCAUCGCCACCGCCACCUCCUUCACCCCAAACCCUAACUCAUCCUAACCCCGCCUUUACCUCUCGCAAGCAUCACCCCGACCCCGCCUCUGCCUUUCGCAAGCGUUGCUUCUUUUCAAUUCACAGUUCGUGUCGUUUCACUCAUCUCAAGUUAGCUAGUUGCGUUAUUCCACUUUCUUAUUCAAUAUGGCAUCUUGGGUCUUUAUUAAUUCGAUUUGAGAUUUGUUUUGCGAACCCUAAAGCUCAUUUGUCGAGGGGGGUUUGGGUCGUUUUGGUUUCCUCUGUUCUGAAUGAUGAAUAAUUUUGUGUGUUUACUCAUCACCAUGAAGCCGUGCUUUGGCCUCCCGAUGGCUUGCCCUCAUUGCUUGCCCGUCUUCAUCUACCUCAAGCUCGCGAAGAUUCUCGAGGUACCUCGGUUUCCUUCUCAUUUGAUUUUCUCGUUGGCAAUGCUUGCUUGCUCAUUGGUUUUCCCCGCCUUUUUUUUUUCUUGUAAUGGAUGAACGAGUCGGAGGGGCACUGGUUGGAGAGAAAAGUCCUUAUUUUUAGCCAUCAAUGUCGUAUUCCUAUGAAAAUUGGGUACGAUGAUGGAAUUCAUUCGAUGAGUAGGGGUAAAGCCAGUUAAUGCCCAGCUUGAUAGCCAAGUGGCUACAAAUGUGUUCUUCGAGUUUUUUGCAUUGAUCAAAAGGUUCGCUAGAUUUGUGAUUUCAAUACCCCUUUUUUUUAGUUUUUGGCUGGAUGUUGCUCGACCAAAUCUGUUUUAGGAGCGAAUUUAGCAUUUAUAGAGUAACUAGGAAAUCGGGUUCGCCCCCCUUCUCUCUCUCAACUUCAGCGAUUUGAAGUGCCCUGCUUUUUGAAUUUGCCUGCUCUGGUUUGGCUCCUGGUGGUAUUUUGUUUCUCUUCCAUUGAAGCUGUUAUGGUUCAUUGAACGCGUAAUCAUUUGUAAACAUAGGAAGGACGAUGAAGAUAAUGUGAGGAUACACUACGAUGUCUUUGAAGAUUUUCUAGUUUCUUCGUCUUGUCUAUUUGCCAACUAAGACAGUUGUUGAUUUUAUGGCUAAAAGCUCUUACUAAGAAUCCAAGUCAUAUGCUUAUUAAGUAUACUCACACCAAUUUAUUUGCUUGUCUAAGUGUGGAGAGAACCCCUUUUGUUUGUUUGGUUAAGAAACUUGCAAUUUUUUUUUCUUUCACAAGGGAUCUUCAUCUUUAUAGUUGAAGAUCGUAAAAUCGGAGUUCAAUUUGUUAAUAUGUUAUUGGGUCGUUGAUUUCUGCUGAUAAUUUGUUUUUAUGGAUGUGCCUAUGAUGAUAUAUAUUUAUUUUUGCUUUUUUGUCAUUACAUUUACCUAUAGUAUAUAUUAAAUUUAAAGUUCUUGUAACGAUAUUUUUUGUAGAAUAUCUUCAAGUAUGGCUAGUAGCACCUACAUCUAACAAUGAAAUUGUAAAACAACUAUUUAUGGAGAUAUGUUACUAAGUUAAUCAUAGCAAUGUGGGGGAAACUUGUCUUGGAAAUAUCAUUUUUGUCAAAAAUAUUUUAAGAGUGAGAAGCCAUUUGUUGAUAAUAAAUGGAAAAGGAAUAUUAAAAUGCACAGAAUUAGAAAAAAAAAAGGAACUUUUAAAGAUAGAAAGAUUAUAGGAAGAGAUCAAUACUAAAUUAAUGAAUAUUGCGCUUAUAAAUGUACUUUUGCCCAUUUCUAGUUUUUUAAUUAGUGGCGGUGGUGGUAGAAUAGAUUAAAUUUUUAACUCCAAAAAAAAGGAAGAUUGGAAGUGGAAGUGGCAAAGCACUUGAAAAUGCAUUCAAUAUGACUCAACGAAAACAUUUAGAUUGUGAAAUUAUUCGAAUAUUCUAUUCGGCGAGCUUGUUGUUUAAUCUUGCAAAGAACCGUUAUUUUCAAUCUACUUUCACUCAUGCCACUAAUCAUAAUAUUGAGAGGUAUGUACCACUGAAAUAUAAUUUGUCGAGAACCACUUUGCUGCAAAAAUAGAGGCAAAUAUUAAUAAGUUUUGUGUACCUAUUAGAAGCAUGUAGAGGGAGAAUGGUGUAAGUAUUGUCAAUGAUGGAUAAAAUGACUCAUAAAGGAGACCGCUUAUUAAUUUUAUGGUGGUGUCGGAUGAAUAACCAACGUUUAUAGAAUCGGGUGAUUGUUCGAGAGAAACAAAUAAUAUGCAUUUCAUUUUCAACUUAUUGAAAGAAUUUAUUAAUGAAAUUGGGCAUGAUAAUGUGAUCCAAGUAAUUACAGAUAAUAAUUCAAAUUGUAAGGGUGCAAGAAAACUCAUUGAGUAAGAAUUUUCAUCCAUUAUUUGAACGCCUUGUGUGGCACAUAACCUUAAUCUAGCUUUGAAGAACAUAUGUAUCGCAAAAAUUUGGAGACCAAUCAAGUAGCUUGUGAGGAAUGUAGUUGGAUUUCGGAUAUUAUUAAAGAAGUUAUGCAAAUCAAACAUUUUAUUAUAAACCAUUCCAUAAGAUUAGCAAUAUACGAUAAGUUUAUUAGCUUGAAGUUGCUUUUCAUAAUGGAUGCAUAUUUUGUUUUGAUAAUUGUGAUGCUUAGGAGAUUCAAGUUAAUAAAAAGUAGUCUUCAAAAUACGGUGUAACAAAUGAAAUAUCUAUUGAGAUGAUAAUCAAGGGAGUUUGUCAAGGACAAUGUGUUGGAUGAUUUUGGUAGGAUUUGAUUAUAUACUUUCUUUCACAGCUUCUAUUUAUGGUAUGCUUAGAAUUUGUGACACCGACUAGUCUUGUCUUCACUUAGUUUAUGAGAUGUGGGAUUCAAUGAUUGACAAAAUGAGCAAAGCUAUAUAUACACAUGAAAUGAAAAGGUUAGAUGAAGAGUCCACAUUUUAGAGGUGGUUCAUAUAAUUCAUGUGGAUCAUUGAACAAAGAACAACACUCCACUUCAUUGCUUGGCACAUGCCUUAAAUCCUAGGUAAUUUCUAAAAUUGAAUGAGAAUAAGAUAAUAUUACUUUAUUAGUUAUUCUUUUUUUGACAUGAUAACAUAAUACUCAUCUUAAUUACUAUAGUUUUCUAUUUUUAUUUUAUUAAAUAAGGUACUAUGGUGAUCAAUGGCUCAAUGAACAUCCUACCCGAGUUUCUCCGUACAAGAAUGAGGAGAUCAAUCAAGAAAGACUAAAAUUCUUUAGGAAAUACUUUUCUAACUUGGAUCAACACAAUAAGGUGAAUUUGGAGUAUGUAGAUUUUAUGAGUAAAAAUGUGAAUUUUAGAGAUUUUGUUUCCUUCAAAAUCGGUAUUCUAUAAAUCCUAAGGUUUGGUGGGUUAAUCAUGAUAUAUGUGCACCUAUAUUUCAAAGUAUAGCCUUAAAGCUUCUUGCAUAACCUUCUUCUUCAUCAUGUGCUUAGAAAAAUUGAAGUACUUGCUCCUUGUGCACUUUUAAGAAGAAAUAAGAUGAUCCCAAAAUGUGUAGAAGAUCCGGUUCUCAUUCACAGCAACCUUAGUCUUCUAUCAAGAAAAAACUCACAAUAUGCAAAAGGAGAGGCCAAGAUGUGAGAUAUUGGCGGAGAUGCAUUUGACACGUUUGAAGAUAUUAGAGUGCUUUAAGUUGCAAGUCUUUCACUUAAUGAGCUAGAAAUGGAGUUUGUUGUUUUUUUAGAAGAAGUGAAUAAUAUAGAUGAAUGACUUCUUGUUAUAUUUAAUGGUGAAAUAUAGAUUUUUUUGCUUAUUGCAAAAUAUUAAAGUUAAUAGUGGAAUGUGGAUCUUUUUUUUCCCUCCAAAUUUUAUGGAUUAUUGCAAUGGAAUGUAGUUAAAUUUGUCAAAUUGAAACAAUGUAUGAUAUUAUUUUACAAAAAAAAAAA
Molecule: long non-coding RNA, 3818 nt
Filed under: Eucalyptus grandis
Lineage: Eukaryota; Viridiplantae; Streptophyta; Magnoliopsida; Myrtales; Myrtaceae
Description: long non-coding RNA (EGRA_LNC001607)
Source: RNAcentral